Molecule: non-coding RNA, 319 nt
Organism: Notechis scutatus (mainland tiger snake)
Lineage: Eukaryota; Metazoa; Chordata; Lepidosauria; Squamata; Elapidae
Source: RefSeq, a predicted model, not a curated record
CAGGCAGAAUAAAAACUACAAUAAGGAAUUGUAUGCUGACUUCAUUGCUGCCCAGAUCAAAACCUUGUCGUUCCUGGCUUACAUUAUAAGGAUUUAUCAGGAGCUGGUAGCCAAGUAUUCUCAGCAAAUGGUGAAGGGAAUGUUGCAGCUACUGUCCAACUGUCCAGCAGAAACCGCUCACCUGAGGAAGGAACUGCUCAUCGCAGCCAAGCAUAUCCUCACCACCGACCUGAGGAGCCAGUUUAUCCCGUGUAUGGACAAAUUGUUUGAUGAAUCCAUACUCAUAGGCUCUGGCUACACAGCCCGUGAAACGCUCAGG